This 253-nucleotide ribosomal RNA is filed under the name uncultured bacterium. Its description in RNAcentral is "partial 16S ribosomal RNA". It matches the Rfam family "Bacterial small subunit ribosomal RNA", at positions 524 to 776 of the family's 1533-position model. The record is from RNAcentral.
UACGCAGGGGGCUAGCGUUGCUCGGAAUCACUGGGCGUAAAGGGUGCGUAGGCGGGGCUUUAAGUCAGGGGUGAAAUCCUGGAGCUCAACUCCAGAACUGCCUUUGAUACUGAGGAUCUUGAGUUCGGGAGAGGUGAGUGGAACUGCGAGUGUAGAGGUGAAAUUCGUAGAUAUUCGCAAGAACACCAGUGGCGAAGGCGGCUCACUGGCCCGAUACUGACGCUGAGGCACGAAAGCGUGGGGAGCAAACAGG